AGAUAGGUUCUAAUUAUUCCUUUGUAGUGUUUGCUCACAAGUAGGGAACAGGUGUAUUAUUCAUCUUGCUGGAAGCAAGGAGUUUCCUCCAGAGACUUUCCAGCUCCGGGCUCCCCUCGGGAUCCCAGCUUUCCUGGGCUAAAGGAGGGCUCUGCACAUUUUGUCUCACCUGCCCAGGUGAUGUUCUCUUUGCUGAGGUCCCUCAGUCAAAUCCCUGCCUCAUUUGGGUGCUAGCAGGGAUUUAAUGCAGUGCUGCUCUUUGAAGCUUCAUAGCUUGGACUUCACUCUUAAUCCUUGCCUCGUAUUUCAUGUGUUUUCCACCUUCAUGCUGGGAGAAAUGAACUUCCUGGUGCUUUUUUUCCAGCAGGGCUCUUGCCUGAACAGUUCUUGGUUUGUCUUGCACCAAUUACCAGCUUCCAGGAUGAUGAAUGGGCUGGUUCUGCCUAAGGGAGUGUGUUCAAGCACAAGGCUGUUAAACCCUUUCCAGCUGGCAGAGAAAUCACAUGCAGGUGGCUCCGUGUCAAAGCUCAGCUGUUAUCGCUGGCUGAUUGUGCCUGCACAAGGAUCCUUCCGUGCUGAAACCACACAAAUGGGGAAGAAAAAGAGAUGGAAGAGGCUGACAAUGUGCUACGAGGAGGUCAAAGCUGGGAAUCCACAGAUGGAGGGUGCAAAACACAGCCAAAACCCCAAAAAGUUUCUGGUUCACAAUGGAUUGUGAAUAGAAGGAAUAAGCAAUAAUGGGCAUCCUUAAAAACCCUCCAUUGCAGUCUCCUGGUCUUUUAAGGGAUGUGGGAAUGAUUUAUGUCCAUAUUUACUGACAGCUGGGAGGAGAUUCAGCUUUAUUUCCUUUAUUUAUAUUUAAGGAAAAGCAGUAGCCAAGGUAAGACAAGAACAAUUGCUGACCAAGCUUUCCUCCACACACAAUCCUCAAACAAAACACAAUCCUCACACAGAGCUACAAUAAUUGAUGCACUUGUGUGUUUUACAAGCAGUGAGAAUCCCUGAAAUGAAAUGAGCAGCUGUGAAUGAAUUUGUGUGGGAACCUGACACUCUAAUGGGUUUCCAUCCAGCUCUGAGGUGAAGGAGAGGUUGAAAAGCAAAUCUCUGCAAGUGUCACCUCACUGGGCUGGGAUGGGGAAAGCAGCACUUCAGUCCCAGCUCACAAAGGCUUCCCUCUCUGCACUGCUUCAUUUCCUUGGUGUCCAUUCCCAGAAAAAUGAGGUUCACAUCAUUUCUAUAGAAUUUAAAAGUUUAAUAAAAAGACAAUUAGGAGAAAAAAUAAAGUAUAC
This 1289-nucleotide long non-coding RNA is filed under the name Parus major (Great Tit). RNAcentral's name for it is "lncRNA (ENSPMJG00000008669.1)". Lineage: Eukaryota; Metazoa; Chordata; Aves; Passeriformes; Paridae. The record is from RNAcentral.